UACGUAGGGUGCAAGCGUUAAUCGGAAUUAUUGGGCGUAAAGCGCGCGCAGGCGGUCUUUUAAGUCUGAUGUGAAAGCCCCCGGCUCAACCGGGGAGGGUCAUUGGAAACUGGGGAACUUGAGUGCAGAAGAGGAUAGUGGAAUUCCAAGUGUAGCGGUGAAAUGCGUAGAGAUUUGGAGGAACACCAGUGGCGAAGGCGACUAUCUGGUCUGUAACUGACACUGAGGCGCGAAAGCGUGGGGAGCAAACAGG
Molecule: ribosomal RNA, 253 nt
Filed under: uncultured Caryophanaceae bacterium
Lineage: Bacteria; Bacillati; Bacillota; Bacilli; Caryophanales; Caryophanaceae
Description: uncultured Planococcaceae bacterium partial 16S ribosomal RNA
Rfam family: Bacterial small subunit ribosomal RNA
Source: RNAcentral